AACGAACGUUAGCGGCGCGCUUAACACAUGCAAGUCGAGCGAGAAAGGGUUUCGGCCCCGGUACAGCGGCGCACGGGUGAGUAACACGUAGGUAAUCUACCUCCAGGUGGUGGAUAACCUUCCGAAAGGAGGGCUAAUACAGCAUGAGACCACGCCUCCGAAAGGGGGAGGGGUCAAAGCCGGCCAAUUCAUGAAAGCUGGCGCCAGGAGAUGAGCCUGCGGCCCAUCAGCUAGUUGGAGGGUAACGGCCUACCAAGGCGAAGACGGUAGCUGGUCUGAGAGGAUGAUCAGCCACACUGGAACUGAGACACGGUCCAGACUCCUACGGGAGGCAGCAGUGGGGAAUCUUGCGCAAUGGGCGAAAGCCUGACGCAGCGACGCCGCGUGAGUGAUGAAGGCC
This 400-nucleotide ribosomal RNA is filed under the name uncultured bacterium. RNAcentral describes it as "bacterial SSU rRNA". It matches the Rfam family "Bacterial small subunit ribosomal RNA", at positions 29 to 416 of the family's 1533-position model. The record is from RNAcentral.